Long non-coding RNA from Glycine soja, 702 nucleotides. RefSeq lists it as uncharacterized. The record is from RefSeq and is a predicted model, not a curated record. The transcript is spliced from 3 exons. Lineage: Eukaryota; Viridiplantae; Streptophyta; Magnoliopsida; Fabales; Fabaceae.
CAGGAUGAUUCUGAAACAGUUGCCAUGAUCAAGGAAUUGUUAGAGACUCGAAUUCGACCGGCAGUGCAGGAUGAUGGUGGGGACAUUGAAUAUAGAGGUUUUGACCCAGAUACUGGAAUAGUAAAACUUAGAAUGCAAGGGGCAUGCAGUGGCUGCCCAAGUUCAUCGGUGACUGAAAUCAGGCAUUGAAAAUAUGCAGAUGCAUUAUGUUCCUGAGGUCAAAGGUGUGGAACAAGAAUUGGAUGCUGAGGAUGAUGGAGCAGCAUUAAGUGGACAAAUGAAAUAGUUGAACUUUGUGUUUUUGCUCAAAAUUGCUGCCUGCAUUUAGUCUCGUCAUGCAUGCAUUUUCACACUCAACAGAGACUUCGAAGUACAACAGCAGUACAUGAUGGAAACAAAAAGGGGUGAGUGUACACAAAAAAAAAAUAUUGAAUAAGUCGUGGGUUGGAUACAUUGUAGUGUGGCAUGAAAUCAUAGUUCCAAGCAAGUUGGAUCUUGCUGACAUAGGAUGAAAGUAAUUUAUGACACGAUGCCAUUACAGAGACAGGGUGUACUGUACCUUAUUCUUUUCGGCCUGCUUAGCUUUGAUUCUUGUUUUUCCCUUUAUAGUUAGGUUGUUACAAGAGUAAAAGGCAUUGUUUGCCUGUUGCCUCACACACCUUUAUUGAUAUCGCAAUGAUUCAUAACACAAACUAAGCUCAU